AACUGCAGAGCCCCGGGGACAUGC
Molecule: non-coding RNA, 24 nt
Filed under: Cricetulus griseus (Chinese hamster)
Lineage: Eukaryota; Metazoa; Chordata; Mammalia; Rodentia; Cricetidae
Source: RNAcentral